CUGGCUCAGGAUGAACGCUAGCGGCAGGCCUAAUACAUGCAAGU
Molecule: ribosomal RNA, 44 nt
Filed under: Larkinella arboricola
Lineage: Bacteria; Pseudomonadati; Bacteroidota; Cytophagia; Cytophagales; Spirosomataceae
Description: partial 16S ribosomal RNA
Source: RNAcentral